UUGGAGUGUCUGAGCUCGAAGGAUUGUGACAUACUCGAUGGAGUUUUGUUUUUUCGGGAAGUUUUCGGGGACACUGUGAGUUUGAGCGGAAUCAUAAGAUUUUCCACCUGGUAACUCCGAGCCAGCGGCCGAAGCUAUACGGAAGUGGCGGGCGUUAUCCGGAUUCACUGGGUUUAAAGGGUGCGUAGGCGGGUUGGUAAGUCAGUGGUGAAAUCUCCAAGCUUAACUCGGAAACUGCCGUGGAUACUAUCUGUCUUGAAUUCUGUGGAGGUGAGCGGAAUAUGUCAUGUAGCGGUGAAAUGCUUAGAUAUGACAUAGAACACCGAUUGCGAAGGCAGCUCACUACACGAACAUUGACGCUGAGGCACGAAAGCGUGGGGAUCAAACAGGAUUAGAUACCCUGGUAGUCCACGCCCUAAACGAUGAUUACUCGACAUACGCGAUACACUGUGUGUGUCUGAGCGAAAGCAUUAAGUAAUCCACCUGGGAAGUACGACCGCAAGGUUGAAACUCAAAGGAAUUUGACG
RNAcentral lists this ribosomal RNA (527 nucleotides) under uncultured Chitinophagaceae bacterium. RNAcentral describes it as "bacterial SSU rRNA". It matches the Rfam family "Bacterial small subunit ribosomal RNA", at positions 386 to 915 of the family's 1533-position model. The record is from RNAcentral. Lineage: Bacteria; Pseudomonadati; Bacteroidota; Chitinophagia; Chitinophagales; Chitinophagaceae.